This 460-nucleotide ribosomal RNA is filed under the name uncultured bacterium. RNAcentral's name for it is "partial 16S ribosomal RNA". It matches the Rfam family "Bacterial small subunit ribosomal RNA", at positions 338 to 795 of the family's 1533-position model. The record is from RNAcentral.
CCUACGGGUGGCAGCAGUGAGGAAUAUUGGUCAAUGGACGAGAGUCUGAACCAGCCAAGUAGCGUGAAGGAUGACUGCCCUAUGGGUUGUAAACUUCUUUUAUAAAGGAAUAAAACGAGGCACGUGUGCCUUUUUGCAUGUACUUUAUGAAUAAGGAUCGGCUAACUCCGUGCCAGCAGCCGCGGUAAUACGGAGGAUCCGAGCGUUAUCCGGAUUUAUUGGGUUUAAAGGGAGCGUAGAUGGGUUGUUAAGUCAGUUGUGAAAGUUUGCGGCUCAACCGUAAAAUUGCAAUUGAUACUGGCAGUCUAGAGUACAGUUGAGGUAGGCGGAAUGCGUGGUGUAGCGGUGAAAUGCUUAGAUAUCACGAAGAACCCCGAUUGCGAAGGCAGCUUACUAAACUGUGACUGACAUUGAUGCUCGAAAGUGUGGGUAUCAAACAGGAUUAGAUACCCUAGUAGUC